Molecule: non-coding RNA, 78 nt
Filed under: unclassified sequences
Description: L20-Deltaproteobacteria ribosomal protein leader
Rfam family: L20-Deltaproteobacteria ribosomal protein leader
Source: RNAcentral
ACUCGUGAACUGUGGGGCUUAAUCUCUCCCCCUUCAGAUCCGGGUGCGGGGAAACUCGCUUAACUGAUUCUCAAGGAG